AAGACACUGAGAAAUGCCACUGUGGAGAUGAAACUGUUUAUUCCUGUGGGGAGCAUUUCCUGGCAGGCCUGCAGCACCUGGCAGGCUUCCCUAAGUCGAAGGUUUUGAUGGAGACAUCUCAUUUAGGGAAUAGGAUAUUGAAGCUCCUAAGAUCUGGACAGACCUUCUUAGAGGCUCCAUACAAUGUUACAUUCUUUUUGAAGAUCUCCUAUGUAGCCAGGAACCAAUCCCAAUUGGCCUUACUUCAGGGUUUCUACAAGAUCCUGUUUGACAAAAUCCCUUCAUUCCGGGAGAGAAGGAAGGAUUAAAAGGCAUUCUUAGCUUUUUACAACAAACUCUGGAAUCAUCGGGUUAUCUUUAUGUUUCUGACCGUGCACCCUCAUCUACAAGAACGACUGAGCCUCAAACCCAUUUCCAAGUCUCCUUUUCUGUAACAGGCGACUUUUGUCUUACAACCAUUUUUGCUUUUCUGUUACUCGAUGGGAUGUCCUCCAUUGCAACUUACUGUCCCCAGACAGUAGUUCCCACUUCUGCUUGCUACUUCGUGAGCCAUCUGCAUUUCUCAGGAACACAGCUGUUUAUUAUGGCCCAUACAGCUGAUUGCAAUCAAUUUUUAUCUGGGUACUUGAAUUUCUGUGAGGCCAUCUCUUUUAUAGAUCUUAAAAUCUGUUUUCUUGGGACUGGAAGUUCACAGAGUCAUGUUUAGAGACAUCUUUCACACACAGGAGGGCAUGAUACCACUUACAUGCUAAACACUGUCAGAGCCAAAAUAUUCUUUCUAAUGUACAUAAUGCCAUUGUGUGUUGGCCCCUGAUUUGUAUUAGACAUUCAACUUCCCACCCUCAGUACAUCUCCAAUGACUUGAAGAAGUUUGUUGAAUCUCUGGUUUCAGGGAUGCAUUCAAUGGGUCCUGGCAACCUCAUUUCCUAGUCAAUACCGCUGGAAAAAAGAACUAGGGCCAUCCAUGCUUUAUGGAUCUCUGUGAACAGUAAGUACAGUGGGGAUGGGGGACUUAAGUUGGUCAAAAAUAUGGAGGAGGAGAGUUCUUAUUUCCCAGAUGGGAAGAAUUUUUUUCUUGGCCACUGAGCAUGAAUGAGGAAAAAAUGCAGCCCUGGAUAACUGUGAACCUCCCAUGACAAAGGAGACUGCCUGAAUACAAAGCCAACACAGCCAGAGGGAACAGAAGGGGAGAUGUAGAGCAGCAGAGCCCACACCACUAUGUGCCUGCCACCCCCAUGUGAAGAAAUAAUCCCCCUGCUGUUUGUACCUCCAAGGGUCAAUCAAAUACACCUGAGCCAUACCUGGAGACAAGAGGCAUCCUGUCAGGUGUGGGGCCCCUGAGGCAGGCUUGCAUGGUCAAACCCUGGCUUUUAUAUGUUGAAAUGGCGGCUCUGUUUCUGGAGUGCCACGGAAGUGUUUGUUUCUUAUUGA
Long non-coding RNA from Mus caroli (Ryukyu mouse), 1431 nucleotides. RefSeq lists it as uncharacterized. The record is from RefSeq and is a predicted model, not a curated record. Lineage: Eukaryota; Metazoa; Chordata; Mammalia; Rodentia; Muridae.